CCUGAAGAUAUGACUCAACCUUUGUAAAUAUUAAUAUCACACAAGAAAAACACUGUUUUUCUACCAUAAACAGUAAACUCAGUGAUUUGGUAAUUUUUUCCUUUAAAUACUUGCAUUUUUUAUUGGAUGAGCCUGUCUUUCUAAAGCCUGGAUUCCCUUGCAACACUCACUACAAAUAAAGUUGCUUUCUCUUCUAAAUGCUUUUGUCUGAGUCUUUGAUAGUAACUUGUUUACUUGUCCCUAUUUUUUUGGUCCUACAUACCUAUUGCUAUGAUCUGAAUGUUUGUGUCCCACUGAAAUACAUAUGCUGAAAACUUAAUCCCUAUUGUGAUGAUUAGGUGAUUAGGUCAUGAGGGUGGGGUCCUCAUCAAUGGGAUUAGUGCCAAGAACUGCCUUGCCCCCUUUCAACAUGUGAGGACCCAGCAAGAAGACACCAUCUAUAAGAAAUCAGGCUCUCACCAGACACCAAAGCUGCUGGCAUAUUGACUUUGGACUUCCCAGCCUCCAGAACUGAAAAAUCAAUGUUUGUUGUUUACAAGCCACCCAGUCUAUGGUGUUUUGUUACAGCAGCCCAAGUGGACUAAGACACCUGCUCCCAGUCAUGGCCAUGUAUUAACAGCUCCUAUCACAGAUAACAACAGUGAGCUCUGGACAGAAAAUAAAAACAUCUUUCUAAAGUCACAAAAGAGCAACCAAAAGUAAUUCAUCAUGAUUUGAUCUAACUUGCUUAUGGCGAUCCCUGCUAAAAGAAGAAUGUAACAUUGUGAUCCAGAAUGAGAAGAGAUGUCAUAUCAGUAGGCCAUGGUUACAGGCAGCGUUGUCAUCAGUUUAAAAUAAUGGGCUUGUGGGCAUUUCAGUUACUCCAUCUAAACUAUAGGACUGGAUUUGGGGUUCUCCAAUACAAGCAGGCAGAAGAAUCUCCUAAAGAAUUUGUUUGAAAUUCAGAAUUCGACUUAGGAGAUUAAGAUGGUGGAUACGAGGAAAGACUAGCUUGCGCGUCCCGCUCAGAUGGACAGAACAGCAUGCGGAGACUCACAUUGUGGACUUUUGCUCCAAGAACUACCAUAGGAACAUACCAAGAAAACUGAAAGAAUCCACAGACCCUUUGAAGGAACUUCAUCACCCCUGCAGGCUCCCUGAGAUGCCAAAAAACUGUGAGUCCUCUUGCUUUCUCAAUGGGGUGGCUCAUGGGGAGGCUGCUUGCCUUCUCAGUGGGGCAAGAUCUCAGCCCUGGUCACCAGCUGCCUAGAAAUAAACUUGGCGCUGUUGCAGGGGCAUGUUGGGAGUAAGAUCAGCUUUAGGACUGUGGGCUGCUUGGGAGCAGGGUGAGGCCUGUAACUGCCGGCUUUCCCCCAGUUCCCUGGCAACUUGUACCUCACCCCUCCAUAUUAACAUUGAAUGUAAAUGUCCUAAAUACUCCACUUAAAAGACACAGAAUGUUC
This 1442-nucleotide long non-coding RNA is filed under the name Pongo abelii (Sumatran orangutan). RNAcentral's name for it is "lncRNA (ENSPPYG00000034877.1)". Lineage: Eukaryota; Metazoa; Chordata; Mammalia; Primates; Hominidae. The record is from RNAcentral.